AUUGAACGCUGGCGGCAUGCCUAACACAUGCAAGUCGAACGGUAACGCGGAGAGCUUGCUCUCUGGCGACGAGUGGCGGACGGGUGAGUAAUACUUAGGAAUCUGCCCAGUAGUGGGGGACAACAUUCGGAAACGGAUGCUAAUACCGCAUACGCACUACGGUGGAAAGUGGGGGACCUUCGGGCCUCACGCUAUUGGAUGAGCCUAAGUCGGAUUAGCUUGUUGGUGAGGUAAUAGCUCACCAAGGCGACGAUCCGUAGCUGGUCUGAGAGGACGAUCAGCCACACUGGGACUGAGACACGGCCCAGACUCCUACGGGAGGCAGCAGUGGGGAAUAUUGGACAAUGGGCGCAAGCCUGAUCCAGCAAUGCCGCGUGUGUGAAAAAGGCCUGCGGGUUGUAAAGCACUUUCAGUAGAGAAGAAAAGCCUAGGGUUAAUACCCCUGAGUCUUGACGUAACCUACAGAAGAAGCACCGGCUAACUCCGUG
RNAcentral lists this ribosomal RNA (488 nucleotides) under uncultured bacterium. Its description in RNAcentral is "bacterial SSU rRNA". It matches the Rfam family "Bacterial small subunit ribosomal RNA", at positions 30 to 507 of the family's 1533-position model. The record is from RNAcentral.